Molecule: unclassified non-coding RNA, 292 nt
Organism: Callithrix jacchus (white-tufted-ear marmoset)
Lineage: Eukaryota; Metazoa; Chordata; Mammalia; Primates; Cebidae
Rfam family: Metazoan signal recognition particle RNA
About the family: The signal recognition particle (SRP) is a universally conserved ribonucleoprotein. It is involved in the co-translational targeting of proteins to membranes.
Source: Ensembl
GCCAGGCGCGUGCCUGUAGUCCCAGCUACUCAGGGGAGCUGAGGUGGGAGUAUCUCCUGAGUCCAGGAGUUCCGGGCUGUAGUGUGCUAUGCUGAUCAGGUGUCCGUACUAAGUUUGGCAUCAAUAUGGUGACCUCCCAGGAGCUGGGGACCACCAGGUUGCCUGAGGAGGGGUGAACCAGCCCAGGUUGGAAAUGGAGCAGGUCAAAACUCCCGUGCGGAUCAGUGGUGGGAUCGCGCCUGUGAAUAACCACGCAUGCCAGCCUGAGCAACAUACCGAGACCCCAUCUCUA